Molecule: non-coding RNA, 1311 nt
Organism: Peromyscus maniculatus bairdii (prairie deer mouse)
Lineage: Eukaryota; Metazoa; Chordata; Mammalia; Rodentia; Cricetidae
Source: RefSeq, a predicted model, not a curated record
UCAUCAUGAUCCUCUAAGCCAGCCUAGUCCUUCUCAGUUCCCAACGAGAGACCCCCCCCCCAGUUCCUCUCUGUCUGCAUACACUUGCAUACAUUCUGUCCAGCAUGCAAGUAUCUCCCGUAUCUCCCAUGUGGGCUUCCCCUAUAGCACCGGAACUUCAGCAUACACACCUGGAACUUGGCAGGGGGACUUGCAUUGCUUAAAGGGAUCUGCCAAAGAACAGAAAGUAUGGAAGUCCAUGAUUGACUUCUGCUAUGGAGACCAGACCUGAGUUAUUUAAGCUUAUGUAUAGGUGUCAUCCCCUUCAAGCAUGAGAUCUCAUGGAAGGUGGUCUCAUUCACUGUGGACGUGUAGAUAGGACAAGAGCCUUGCCUUGACUCUAACAUUCUCAACAUAAGUAGAACCGUAAGACAACAGAACUACUGCUAUAAGACUCUACCCAUGAUGGGUAUUUAGGUGCCUGUCAUACAGUUGACUCUUCGAUAUUUCAGAUACAGCCCAAGCUUCUCAGCGCUAAGGACCAGUAGCCUUCCCUUUCUCUACAAUGAAAUAUCUCAGUGAUGCACAUCCCCCUCCCUUGAGCACUCAAAAGGAUAUAUUAAUCAAGGAGUCGUCUGAUGUUUGCAAAACCUGAGCUUGAUUGUAAACAAGAUCGAAGUUUUAGAGGGAAUCUAUGAAUGUCAUGGAAUGUGAUGGACUAUCAGCAUUUCAGGAAUUGUGUGACAAAUCAUCUCGAUGUGGACCUGUGGCAAGGCAGCGUGGUGAAGCGUAGAGUACACUGUGCAGGAAAACUCUCACCGCAUAGCCUGGAAGAGCAAACAGAAGAAAGGGAAGAGUCUCAGGCCUCACAAUCAUCUUUGAAGAUUAUCUUCAGGGAAUUAAAGAUCCCCGACAAGGUCACUUCUCAAAUUUCUGGAAACUCCCUUCACAGUAAAUAGAACUAAAUGGACAUGUCCUGGGAGCCAAGGAGAAUGGACCAACUGGAAGCUGACCCAUAGGAGAAAACAAGACAGCUCUUCAUCUUGUUUGUGACCAACAAAUUGGAGAACAUGUUAUACUGGCCAAACACUGACAAUCGGCUAUUUUCCUUUGGGAGAUUUCAUUUCCUAGAGCAUCGUCUCUUGAUGCCAUAAAAACCAUUCCCAAGCAUGCAUAUCUCUGCUGGUACAGCGAUGUAUAUGUGACCUUGAAACAGAAAGGAGAAAAGAGAGCAAGCAAAUGGCACUUCUACGAUUCUGGGUCAUCUUGCAAAACACCUUUUUUAUUGGGAGUAAUAAUUUGACUUCAUUCCCCAAUAAAAGUAGAUUUAUG